CCUACGGGAGGCAGCAGUGAGGCAUAUUGGUCAAUGGACGAGAGUCUGAACCAGCCAAGUAGCGUGAAGGAUGACUGCCCUAUGGGUUGUAAACUUCUUUUAUAUGGGAAUAAAAUGUUCCACGUGUGGGAUUUUGUAUGUACCAUAUGAAUAAGGAUCGGCUAACUCCGUGCCAGCAGCCGCGGUAAUACGACGGAUCCGAGCGUUAUCCGGAUUUUUUGGGUUUAAAGGGAGCGUAGGUGGAUUGUUAAAUCAGUUUUGAAAGUUUGCGGCUCAACCGUAAAAUUGCAGUUGAAACUGGCAGUCUUGAGUACAGUAGAGGUGGGCGGAAUUCGCGGUGUAGCGGUGAAAUGCUUAGAUAUCACGAAGAACUCCGAUUGCGAAGGCAGCUCACUGGACUGCAACUGACACUGAGGCUCGAAAGUGUGGGUAUCAAACAGGAUUAGAUACCCCUGUAGUC
This 460-nucleotide ribosomal RNA is filed under the name uncultured bacterium. RNAcentral's name for it is "partial 16S ribosomal RNA". It matches the Rfam family "Bacterial small subunit ribosomal RNA", at positions 338 to 795 of the family's 1533-position model. The record is from RNAcentral.